RNAcentral lists this ribosomal RNA (292 nucleotides) under uncultured bacterium. Its description in RNAcentral is "partial 16S ribosomal RNA". It matches the Rfam family "Bacterial small subunit ribosomal RNA", at positions 505 to 796 of the family's 1533-position model. The record is from RNAcentral.
GUGCCAGCCGCCGCGGUAAUACAGAGGCCCCAAGCGUUACUGAGAAUCACUGGGUUUAAAGGGUGCGUAGGUGGUCCGUUAAGUUCGUUGUGAAAGCCCUGGGCUCAACCCAGGAACUGCUUCGAAUACUGGCGGACUUGAGGCUAGUAGGGGUUACUGGAACUGACGGUGGAGCGGUGAAAUGCGUAGAUAUCGUCAGGAACGCCAAUGGUGAAGACAGGUAACUGGGCUAGUUCUGACACUGAGGCACGAAAGCGUGGGGAGCGAACGGGAUUAGAAACCCGUGUAGUCC